UGAUUUCAGUGAGAUGAGGGGUCAAAUCCCAAGAUUCCUCUUUCUUAAGUGCUCCCACCUCGUUCUCUUUCAUACAUGAACUUCUGGCCCUUCAAUUCUCUAUAUAAGCCACUCUUAUUCAUCCUCUCUCUGCACCAUCUCUCUCUUUCUGUCUCUCCUUCCUGUUUGCUUCUCAGCUUUAUUUUUUAGUUUCUAUUUCCUUGGCUGACUAUGGCUACUGCUGAGGUAGUAACAGCACAGACUGCACUUCCUGAGGAAAAACCAGCUGAAGAAGUGAAGGUUUCAGAGAUUGUAACAGAAGAGGCAGCACCAGCAGUAGAGCCAGUUGCUGAAGAGCCCAAGGAAGCAGAGCCAGUUGCAGUAUCUGAAGAACCAAAGGGGGCUGAUGAUGCUCCGGCUGAAGUAGCGGUUGAAACUAAAGAGGUUGUAGAAGUUGAAGAGGCCAAGACUGUGACAGAAGAGCCAACAGUAGAGAAAACUGAAGAAGAAGAAGAGACUCCUAAGGAAGAAACACCAGAGCCUGUGGUUGUUAAGGAGACUCCUAAAGAGGAACCAGCAGCAGAGACCGUUGUUGUGGAGGCUCCCAAAGAGACAACCGAGGCUGCAACUGAGGCAGAAGCACCGGCACCGGAAUCCGCACCAGCAUCAGCAUCGGAAACUCCAGCUGAAGAAGAAGUUCCAAAGGAGGAAGAAGGUGAUGAGAAGAAAUCUGAAGCAGAAGUUGAAGCUGAGAAGACUGAGUAAUGAGAUAGCUCAGCAGGGUUUAAUUGGUUUUUGCAUGCCGUGCUGUAAUUUUCGUAUUGUUAGGUUGUGGUCUAAUAAGAGUUUUAUUUGAACCAAUGGGAACUCACCACAUGGCAGACAUGCAUUUGCAACAGUAUGGCGAUGUUUUGGGUACUCAUUUAUACUACGUGGCAACUAGCAUGUGUGCCUAUUGGUUCCAAGCAGUUCCAUGAAUUUUAUAUACAUUGUGCUUUGUUGAUGCUUUGUAAUAAUAAGCUUGUAGCGCUUGUGAUGCUACUUUGUUUAAUAUAAUUUCUAGUACCCUAAGUUAUUUUUAAA
RNA transcript from Manihot esculenta (cassava), 1062 nucleotides. It is a transcript of the gene named major latex allergen Hev b 5, with no coding region annotated. NCBI's taxonomy places the organism in Eukaryota, Viridiplantae, Streptophyta, Magnoliopsida, Malpighiales, Euphorbiaceae. The record is from RefSeq and is a predicted model, not a curated record. The transcript is spliced from 3 exons.